UACGAAGGGAGCUAGCGUUGUUCGGAAUCACUGGGCGUAAAGCGCACGUAGGCGGAUGUGUCAGUCAGGGGUGAAAUCCCGGAGCUCAACUUCGGAACUGCCUCUGAUACAGCACGUCUUGAGUCCGGAAGAGGUGGGUGGAAUUCCUAGUGUAGAGGUGAAAUUCGUAGAUAUUAGGAAGAACACCGGUGGCGAAGGCGACUAACUGGACAGGUAUUGACGCUGAGGUGCGAAAGCGUGGGGAGCAAACAGG
This 253-nucleotide ribosomal RNA is filed under the name uncultured bacterium. RNAcentral's name for it is "partial 16S ribosomal RNA". It matches the Rfam family "Bacterial small subunit ribosomal RNA", at positions 524 to 776 of the family's 1533-position model. The record is from RNAcentral.